This 73-nucleotide transfer RNA is filed under the name Felis catus (domestic cat). It matches the Rfam family "tRNA". Rfam says of the family: Transfer RNA (tRNA) molecules are approximately 80 nucleotides in length. Their secondary structure includes four short double-helical elements and three loops (D, anti-codon, and T loops). RNAcentral also lists the same sequence under 3 other names. Lineage: Eukaryota; Metazoa; Chordata; Mammalia; Carnivora; Felidae. The record is from Rfam by way of RNAcentral.
AUCUGACUGGCUCAGUCAGUGGAGCGUGCGACUCUUGAUCUCAGGGUUGUGGGUUUGAACCCCACGUUGGGUA